UACAGAGACGGCGAGCGUUGUUCGGAUUCAUUGGGCGUAAAGGGCGCGUAGGCGGUCGGGUAAGUCGGAUGUAAAAGCUCACAGCCUAACUGUGAUAGGUCAUUCGAAACUGCCCGGCUCGAGGAAUGGAGAGGAGACUGGAAUGGUCGGUGUAGCGGUGAAAUGCGUAGAGAUCGAGCAGAACACCGGUGGCGAAGGCGGGUCUCUGGACAUUUCCUGACGCUGAGGCGCGAAAGCCAGGGGAGCAAACGGG
RNAcentral lists this ribosomal RNA (253 nucleotides) under uncultured bacterium. Its description in RNAcentral is "partial 16S ribosomal RNA". It matches the Rfam family "Bacterial small subunit ribosomal RNA", at positions 524 to 776 of the family's 1533-position model. The record is from RNAcentral.